RNAcentral lists this small RNA (89 nucleotides) under Yersinia enterocolitica subsp. enterocolitica 8081. RNAcentral's name for it is "AilA 5' UTR thermometer". It matches the Rfam family "AilA 5' UTR thermometer". From Rfam's summary of the family: RNAT functionality is impaired by point mutating the 5'UTR. Temperature affects the secondary structure and ribosome binding efficiency of the 5'UTR. The record is from Rfam by way of RNAcentral. Lineage: Bacteria; Pseudomonadati; Pseudomonadota; Gammaproteobacteria; Enterobacterales; Yersiniaceae.
AGCCAUGUCAGUGAUAUGGUUAUUGUAUUAGUAUUGUUAUAACAAUCUGGAUUAUUUUUAUGAAAAAGACAUUACUAGCUAGUUCUCUA